This 528-nucleotide ribosomal RNA is filed under the name Pseudomonas cichorii. Its description in RNAcentral is "bacterial SSU rRNA". It matches the Rfam family "Bacterial small subunit ribosomal RNA", at positions 89 to 614 of the family's 1533-position model. The record is from RNAcentral. Lineage: Bacteria; Pseudomonadati; Pseudomonadota; Gammaproteobacteria; Pseudomonadales; Pseudomonadaceae.
UUGAGAGCGGCGGACGGGUGAGUAUGCCUAGGAAUCUGCCUGGUAGUGGGGGAUAACGUCCGGAAACGGACGCUAAUACCGCAUACGUCCUACGGGAGAAAGCAGGGGACCUUCGGGCCUUGCGCUAUCAGAUGAGCCUAGGUCGGAUUAGCUAGUUGGUGAGGUAAAGGCUCACCAAGGCGACGAUCCGUAACUGGUCUGAGAGGAUGAUCAGUCACACUGGAACUGAGACACGGUCCAGACUCCUACGGGAGGCAGCAGUGGGGAAUAUUGGACAAUGGGCGAAAGCCUGAUCCAGCCAUGCCGCGUGUGUGAAGAAGGUCUUCGGAUUGUAAAGCACUUUAAGUUGGGAGGAAGGGUCGUUACCUAAUACGUGACGAUUUUGACGUUACCGACAGAAUAAGCACCGGCUAACUCUGUGCCAGCAGCCGCGGUAAUACAGAGGGUGCAAGCGUUAAUCGGAAUUACUGGGCGUAAAGCGCGCGUAGGUGGUUUGUUAAGUUGAAUGUGAAAUCCCCGGGCUCAACC